GACGGGGGGGGGCAAGUGUUCUUCGGAAUGACUGGGCGUAAAGGGCUCGUAGGCGGCCAACUAAGUCAUACGUGAAAUCCCUCGGCUUAACCGGGGAACUGCGUCUGAUACUGGAUGGCUUGAGUUCGGGAGAGGGAUGCGGAAUUCCAGGUGUAGCGGUGAAAUGCGUAGAUAUCUGGAGGAACACCGGUGGCGAAGGCGGCAUCCUGGACCGAUACUGACGCUGAGGAGCGAAAGCCAGGGGAGCAAACGGG
This 254-nucleotide ribosomal RNA is filed under the name uncultured bacterium. RNAcentral's name for it is "partial 16S ribosomal RNA". It matches the Rfam family "Bacterial small subunit ribosomal RNA", at positions 524 to 776 of the family's 1533-position model. The record is from RNAcentral.